Molecule: transfer RNA, 73 nt
Filed under: Trachymyrmex septentrionalis
Lineage: Eukaryota; Metazoa; Arthropoda; Insecta; Hymenoptera; Formicidae
Rfam family: tRNA
About the family: Transfer RNA (tRNA) molecules are approximately 80 nucleotides in length.
Source: Rfam by way of RNAcentral
GCCUCGGUGGUCUAAAGGCUUAGAACGCUCGUACGAAAUACAAAAGAUCCGGGUUCAAGUCCCGGUCGAGGUA